This 342-nucleotide ribosomal RNA is filed under the name Triticum aestivum (bread wheat). RNAcentral's name for it is "partial small subunit ribosomal RNA". The record is from RNAcentral. Lineage: Eukaryota; Viridiplantae; Streptophyta; Magnoliopsida; Poales; Poaceae.
AUGAUCACGUACGUAUGUCCAGGGAUCAUCAUGUCAUGCGCCGGAGGUCCAUCGGGGACGGACGCGACGACGUCUGAUAUGGUGAUGGGGAUCGAAUUGAGGAUUUGGGGAAUGUGUAAACGGCGGCCGGGCUGGGGCUGGCAUGCAUGGUUGGUAGCUCGCGUACGUACGUCUUGCUUAGCCGGUGGGCGGCUUUGGAUUUUUGUAGCGCGUAGAUACCUCUAUUUAAUUCUUGGCGGGAUGUCGCCGUCUAUGUAUGCUGUGUUCCACUCCACGGCGGCCGCGCGCGCGUCGCUGUUACCGCGGAGGCGCGGGCGUCGAUCGCCGGGCUCCGCUGUGUGA